Molecule: unclassified non-coding RNA, 89 nt
Filed under: Pseudomonas kilonensis
Lineage: Bacteria; Pseudomonadati; Pseudomonadota; Gammaproteobacteria; Pseudomonadales; Pseudomonadaceae
Source: RNAcentral
UGUGGGAGCGGGCUUGCUCGCGAAGGCGGAGUGUCAGUUACGAUCAUGUUGACUGACACUCUGCUAUCGCGAGCAAGCUCGCUCCCACA